GGAGGUUUAGCUCAGUUGGGAGAGCGUCUGCCUUACAAGCAGAGGGUCAGCGGUUCGAGCCCGUUAACCUCCA
Molecule: transfer RNA, 73 nt
Organism: Erysipelotrichaceae bacterium
Lineage: Bacteria; Bacillati; Bacillota; Erysipelotrichia; Erysipelotrichales; Erysipelotrichaceae
Rfam family: tRNA
About the family: Transfer RNA (tRNA) molecules are approximately 80 nucleotides in length. Their secondary structure includes four short double-helical elements and three loops (D, anti-codon, and T loops).
Source: Rfam